Molecule: ribosomal RNA, 207 nt
Filed under: uncultured bacterium
Lineage: Bacteria
Description: partial 16S ribosomal RNA
Rfam family: Bacterial small subunit ribosomal RNA
Source: RNAcentral
CUUGUAGGCGGUUUGUCGCGUCUGCUGUGAAAAUCCGGGGCUCAACCCCGGACUUGCAGUGGGUACGGGCAGACUAGAGUGUGGUAGGGGAGACUGGAAUUCCUGGUGUAGCGGUGAAAUGCGCAGAUAUCAGGAGGAACACCGAUGGCGAAGGCAGGUCUCUGGGCCACUACUGACGCUGAGAAGCGAAAGCAUGGGGAGCAAACA